Molecule: ribosomal RNA, 471 nt
Filed under: uncultured bacterium
Lineage: Bacteria
Description: SSU rRNA
Rfam family: Bacterial small subunit ribosomal RNA
Source: RNAcentral
AGGAUGAACGCUGGCGGUCUGCUUAACACAUGCAAGUCGAACGGGCGUAGCAAUACGUUAGUGGCGGACGGGUGAGUAACGCGUGAGAAUCUACCUUCAGGACGGAGACAACAGUUGGAAACGACUGCUAACCCCCGAUGUACUGAAAAGGCAAAUAUUUAUAGCCUGAAGAAGAGCUCGCGUCCGAUUAGCUAGUUGGAGAGGUAAAAGCUCACCAAGGCGACGAUCGGUAGCUGGUCUGAGAGGACGAUCAGCCACACUGGAACUGAGACACGGUCCAGACACCUACGGGUGGCAGCAGUCGAGAAUUUUUCACAAUGGGCGCAAGCCUGAUGGAGCGACGCCGCGUGGGGGAUGAAUGGCUUCGGCCCGUAAACCCCUGUCAUUUGCGAUCAACCGUUGUUGUUUAAGAGAUGACAACCUGAUAGUAGCGAAAGAGGAAGGGACGGCUAACUCUGUGCCAGCAGCCGC